RNAcentral lists this ribosomal RNA (454 nucleotides) under uncultured organism. RNAcentral describes it as "partial 16S ribosomal RNA". It matches the Rfam family "Bacterial small subunit ribosomal RNA", at positions 335 to 800 of the family's 1533-position model. The record is from RNAcentral.
ACUCCUGCGGGAGGCAGCAGUGGGGAAUAUUGCACAAUGGGCGGAAGCCUGAUGCAGCAACGCCGCGUGCGGGAUGACGGCCUUCGGGUUGUAAACCGCUUUCGCCUGUGACGAAGCGUGAGUGACGGUAAUGGGUAAAGAAGCACCGGCUAACUACGUGCCAGCAGCCGCGGUGAUACGUAGGGUGCGAGCGUUGUCCGGAUUUAUUGGGCGUAAAGGGCUCGUAGGUGGUUGAUCGCGUCGGAAGUGUAAUCUUGGGGCUUAACCCUGAGCGUGCUUUCGAUACGGGUUGACUUGAGGAAGGUAGGGGAGAAUGGAAUUCCUGGUGGAGCGGUGGAAUGCGCAGAUAUCAGGAGGAACACCAGUGGCGAAGGCGGUUCUCUGGGCCUUUCCUGACGCUGAGGAGCGAAAGCGUGGGGAGCGAACAGGCUUAGAAACCCUAGUAGUCCCAUGA